GGCUCUUGUCCCAGGUUCAUGCCUCAUUUCUUUUCCAAGGUCAACAGACAUCUCUCCUCUUCAGAGAGAGAUGCAAGAACCCUAAAGCCUGGGCCAAAGCUUCUCCGCAGCUGUAAUGGUUUCCUGAAGCUGGAGAUUUUGCCUCGACUCCUAGACCCAGUCCUCCUUCUACACUUUAGAGUUCCCGGGGAUGCCAAUUCUCUCUUUAUGAAGCACAACAAAUCAACUCCCUCAAACUCCACUGUAAAGAAACCAAGACUUAGAGACCUGUCCAUAGUCGUUUAGUGAGGGAAUGCAACAUCUGGGUCUAGGGUCCAAAUCUAUCUCUGCUGUGAAGAGGAACUCAUACAGGAGAUCUACUUGAUUACAAAUUCUUGGCCCUGAAGUGGAGGGGAUUGCCGCUCUGACGAUGAGGUGUUGUUUUCAAGCCAGUGACCUUGGGAUGAGGAGGAGAAAGGCAAUGGAGAGGGAAAUGACAGAAGCCUAGAUAAUACUUAUCUGGCAUUCAGUGGAUUUACAUUUCCUUAAAGUAAAAUCUUUGAACUUUGUCUUUUAAAAUGUUAUGUUACGCCCCUUCCCCCACCCCAUGCAUUCUUCCCCAGAUUCUUCUCAAGUCCUCUUCCUUCCUGUCAUCCUUGUCUCAGCUCAAAUGCCCCUUCUUCAGAGAUGGCCUCUCUGACCACCUAAAGUGGUCUCUCAUGUUCCUAUAUCUCACAAAUCCCAUUUUAUUUUCUCAAUAGCACUGACCCUCCCAGAUCUAUUUGAUUAUUGUUUAUGUGUUUAAAUCCCCCAGUCCUGUACCCAGUCCUUUCUCCAACUGUAUCCCCAAUGCCUCAAACAGACCUAGCAUAAAGUGAAUAUAUUUUGGAUAAAUGAGGCAGUGGAUGAAGCCCCAACUUCUUAGCCUUUUAUAUACUUUUUAUACUUUCAGAAUCGCUGAAAUUCCUGUGUGUUUAUAUUCUUGCCAUGUGGAGAUUAGUGGGUGGGGGAGGAGGAUGGACUAUUUAUUUAGUUGGACAAUAAUCCACAAUUUCUAAAGGGAGAGUUUUAAAAAUUAAAGGAAUAUCUUAUCAUCUAUAAAUUUAAUUCUCUUUUAUUAAUAUCAAGGUAUUAUCAAGGAACUUUUGAAAGAAGUUGAACUGUACAGAAAACCUAGUAUAUGACACUGGUCCCUUUCUUGCAAACAUACUUUAAUUUGAUGCAAUAAAAUAUCUUCAUGUAAGUAAUAUAAAAAUUGUUUUCUGAGCAUAUACUGAAUAUCAUGCACUAUGUCUGUUGCUGGAGAAAUCACUGUGAAUAAGGUAAAACUGUCUUUGCCCUCAGGGUGCUAAAAAUUUUGUGAAGGAUCCAGAUAAGGAAACUGUUCAAAACACAUGUGAUAAUUGAUAUGACAGAUCAAUUCAGAGUGCCAUGGGAAUAUACAAGAGUGGUGCUUACCCCAGGCUGGAAUGGAAGGUGGGUGAUAGGCAGGCAGGCCUAAGCUGAGAUCUCCUGGUGAGUUAGCUGCAAGCAGGGGGGAUCAUACAAGGGAGUCAGCAGGUGUAAAAAGGAAUCACAUGAAGAGGUCAGGCUGGACCAGCACAUGCUGACCACAUCACACACACAGAACCAAGAUCAGUUCACUGAUCCUGAACUCCAGGUGUCAGACACAGCCUGUUUCCUCCAGUUGAGUUCCUUCUACCAUGAUUCCAACCCUUGUGUGUAUAUAUCCUCUCAAUCAAUGCACAACCUACAUAUCACUUCUUCCAGGAAACCAUUCCUGAUCUUUCAGACAUAAGAAACUUCUUUCUCCUUUGAACCCCUGUUGUUUAUUGGUUUACUUAGAGACUGUCUCAGAUGGCCAUGCAGGUUGUGCACUGCACAACUUACCCAAGCAUGUGUGGCAGCUAGCUCUACCUACACACGGGUACUUAUUCACACAUCGUAUCUUUCCUGCCAAUCUUUAAGCAACUUGAGGGCAAUUUCCAUUGGCUUUUUCUGUAUUUCCUUUUGUGCCAAAAACAUUUCACUGGAUCUGUUACCCAACUGUCUAUAUCAGUAUGAAUUUAGAAUGUGAGUGAUAUAUUAGUUCCGUGAGAAACAUGAAGAAAACCUAUAUAUAUUUUGGAAAAUGUGUGAGAAUUUGUUAAAAGUGUAUCGUUAAUGGUAUUUAGAUGUAGUGGGAGUGAGAGACUAAUCCUACUCUGCCCGAAGCUCAGUUCAGCUCCUUUCUUUUUAAAUUUUGAAAUUCACUUUGUGUUAUCUCAAGACUAUCUUAUGACUUCAAAGGAUUCACAAGAACUCAAUCUGUUGAAUUUACCAUUGAGUAACUACGCAUUGUUUUCUUCCUUUUCUUUUCUGUUCUUAUUUUUAACAGCGCAACAGUCAUUUGAACUGUACAUCUGUUAACCAGAAGGCCAACCUGACUUCAACUUUUAACUGCUUUCCUAAUAGCUCUAUUGGAAAGCUCUUACAUCUUACCACCAUCUGGUGCCACUAGCCUCUGAAAUCUUUUAGGCAGUCUGUGCUGAAGGGUGUGUGUGUGUGUUGAAAGACAUAUUCAGGGAUUUUCUUUUCUUGAAAUUACCUUCAGUGACUCAGAAAACUUUAGUUUGUAUCUCCUAUCUUUAUUUUAUUAAAUUCAGUUAGACCAUCAGGGUUAUAACUGUUUUGGAUGGUGUCUAAACUCCAUAGAAUUCUACAUUUCCCUUCUGGUUUUUUUCACACACAUACAGUUUCAAAAACAAAACCUCUUCUAACUCCCUUUAUCUAUCUUGGGGAUUUGAGAGGCUCCAGGAAACAUCCCCCUACCCUCCCACCCAAUGAUAUCAUUGUAGGGCUGGGAAUUCCCACUUCUAAUUAAUCUUUGAGGUUGCAUCCCUGAAGGCAACUGUGAAAACACAAAUGUAAUCUAAAAGCAGCAUCAUGUUAAGCCCUGAGAGCUUCAAUUACUUCAUUAAGGGGCACAUGGCUGAGGAAACGAGAAGCAGCACAAUUUAUUACUGACGGAAAAAAGGCAAAGGAAGUGAGUGUUGCCAGAUGGUCUCAAUGAAGGCUCUGGACAUAAAAUAAAAAUGUAUAGAAAGGUAUGUACACAAUAUUGGAACCUUGACAAUUAUCAACAUUACAUUUUACAGUUGGCAAUCAAUUAUAUAACACUUAUCAACCUAAAAUGUUUUUUCUUUUUUUUCCAAGUAGGUACAUUUUUAAAAAUUAUCAAAUUUUCUUUCUUACUGACUCGGAACUAAAUCUGCUGCAUUCAUAGCGAGGUGGGCUACUCGGGAUGCAAUAAAUCCCCUCUACGUCAGGAGUGCCCUGAAAUUCAAACAAUAUGCAAUUGAUUUUACCACAUUUGGAGAGGUGGUAUCUGGGCUGAAAGGGAGAAAACUUAUGGUCUUCAACUAUUACAGCGGGGGGCAAACAUUACUACAUAACUUAUCAACAGAGGACACACUGUCAUGCGUAUGGAUGUUAAGCCACUUUGUAGGCAGAGGAAAUAUUCAGAAGAAGGCCACAGGGCAUGUGCUGUGAAAACUGGUGAGGAGGUCUGAGUUUGGAUAUAAAGCUGUAGUUUCUGGCCUGGUGCUGGCACCUGAAGUCCACAGACAGUUGGGCAAAGAAGAUGGAUGGGAAGCAGAGGAAGCAAAGACAAGUUGAAUGAAGGAGAAACUGGUGCCUUCCGUCAUGGAGCUAAAUAUGCAUCUGGUUGAGGAUUCAGGGAAGUUGAUCCAGCAGGAGGAUCUGGCAGGAGCCCAGCUGCUGCCCCUCACCAACAAGGAUAUUAAUUUUAAGUACCUGUGAAAUGAAGUUCUUAAAACCUAAGAUUCCCCAAAACUCCAGUUAUCAACAAGGUUAUAUAGGAAUCCAAGCCAGGCAUUUGGAGUAGAUGCUGAGAUCUCCUCUCCCUCACACCUUUGCUGACCCCAGCUACCUGCAAUCUUGCCAGAACCAUUCUGGAGGUGAGGUGAUCCUUUUUAUUUGUAAAAGAUCUAGUAAAGUAUACAACAGUUUAUUCUUUUAAUUUUAAUGGCAAUUUACAUACAUACAUACUU
Molecule: non-coding RNA, 4031 nt
Organism: Macaca mulatta (Rhesus monkey)
Lineage: Eukaryota; Metazoa; Chordata; Mammalia; Primates; Cercopithecidae
Source: RefSeq, a predicted model, not a curated record